UGUGGACUCGGAAUAUUUCUGAUUCUUUAUUGUUUUCUAUAUUUCUUUAUUCUUCUAACAGUUUUGUUUUCUGAUUUUUGUUUUAACACAGUAACGCUCAGAAGAUAUACAUUAGCUGUACUCAUGACGGACAAACAGUAUCUUAAACCCCAUGACGGACAGCUUUAUUCCUGAUAAACACAAGACCUCAUGAAAGGUAUCAGGAAAUAUUAUAGGAACAAACACAAACUCAAUCUGAUAUUGAUCAGUGGAAAGUGUAUUACGAAGCCGUGGGAGGGGAAAAGAAGAGAAAAGUAUAUGGUCUUGGAUCUCAAGCAAAAUGCUACUAUGAACCGAAUCUUCGUGGCUCUUCUGGAUCAGAUGCUUCAUCGUCAAUACCACCUUCGUGUGCUCAAUCAACAUCGAACCUGGAUGAGUUAGCGAUGCAUUUGAUUCCUACACUAACAGAGCACAUAGUUCCUUUGCUAACUGAUAAAAUGCUUCCAGUAUUGAUUGAGCGGGUGCGUGAAAUGAUUUCGUCACCCUCACUGACUUCUACUGACCACCCACUAGAUGUGGUACCAACAAUUCAUGCUCCUCCUACUGCUACUGUUCAUGGGGUUCAUCCAUCGGUUUCAGAUGAUGACCUUAACCCCUAAGCCUCGUAUUUGGUUUGGAAGCUUUUUGUUUUGAACUUUAUUGUUGGUGUUAGGGAUAAUUCGCACCUUUUUGGUUUGAACUUUAUUAUUGGUGUUAGGGAUAAUUCGAACUUCAUUGUAUUAGCUAUAUGCAUUUUGAAAUCAUUUUGGACCUUGAAGUA
This is a non-coding RNA of Nicotiana tabacum (common tobacco), 799 nucleotides long. The record is from RefSeq and is a predicted model, not a curated record. NCBI's taxonomy places the organism in Eukaryota, Viridiplantae, Streptophyta, Magnoliopsida, Solanales, Solanaceae.